CCUACGGGAGGCAGCAGUGAGGAAUAUUGGUCAAUGGACGCAAGUCUGAACCAGCCAUGCCGCGUGCAGGAAGACGGCUCUAUGAGUUGUAAACUGCUUUUGUACGAGGGUAAACGCAGAUACGCGUAUCUGUCUGCAAGUAUCGUACGAAUAAGGCUCGGCUAACUUCGUGCCGGCCGCCCCGGUAAUACGGAGGAUUCAAGCGUUAUCCGGAUUUAUUGGGUUUAAAGGGUGCGUAGGCGGUCGGAUAAGUUAGAUGUGAAAUCCCGAGGCUCAACUUCGGAAGUGCCUCUGAUACUGGUCGGCGAGAGAGUAGUUGCGGUAUGCGGAAUGUAUGGUGUAGCGGUGAAAUGCUUAGAUAUCACGAAGAACUCCGAUUGCGAAGGCAGGUCACUGGACUGCAACUGACACUGAGGCUCGAAAGUGUGGGUAUCAAACAGGAUUAGAUACCCGUGUAGGC
Molecule: ribosomal RNA, 460 nt
Filed under: uncultured bacterium
Lineage: Bacteria
Description: partial 16S ribosomal RNA
Rfam family: Bacterial small subunit ribosomal RNA
Source: RNAcentral